UUAGGAAAAACCCGCUUUGGUCCGGGCGGUUCGCCGUCCGGUUAAAAGGGAAUGUGGUUCGGUUCACCCAAUGGGUGCCAAGUCCACAACUGCCCCCGCAACUGUAGGCGGAGAGCGAAGCCGGAAAAUGCCACUGUCGCCCAUUGGGUGACGGGAAGGUUCGGCCCAGCGAUGACCCGUGAGUCAGGAGACCUGCCAAGGUGCUCACCCUGUU
This 214-nucleotide non-coding RNA is filed under the name Celeribacter baekdonensis. Lineage: Bacteria; Pseudomonadati; Pseudomonadota; Alphaproteobacteria; Rhodobacterales; Roseobacteraceae. The record is from RNAcentral. RNAcentral also lists the same sequence under 1 other name.